GGCCUGGUAGCUCAGUUGGUAGAGCAGAGGAUUGAAAAUCCUUGUGUCGGCAGUUCAACUCUGCCCCGGGCCA
Molecule: transfer RNA, 73 nt
Filed under: Pleionea mediterranea
Lineage: Bacteria; Pseudomonadati; Pseudomonadota; Gammaproteobacteria; Oceanospirillales; Pleioneaceae
Description: Alcanivoracaceae bacterium MOLA 115 tRNA
Rfam family: tRNA
About the family: Transfer RNA (tRNA) molecules are approximately 80 nucleotides in length. Their secondary structure includes four short double-helical elements and three loops (D, anti-codon, and T loops).
Source: Rfam by way of RNAcentral